AGUCAGAUGNGAAAGCCNGGGNUCANCCUCGGACUGCAUUUGAAACUGGUGACUAGAGUACUGUAGAGGGGGGUAGAUUUCAGGUGUAGCGGUGAAAUGCGUAGAGAUCUGANGAAUACCAGUGGCGAAGCGCCCCUGGACAGAUACUGACACUCAGAUGCGAAAGCGUGGGGAGCAAACAGGAUAGAUACCUGGUAGUCACGCCGUAAACGAUGUCUACUUGGAGGUUGUGGCCUUGAGCCGUGGCUUUCGGAGCUAACGCGUUAAGUAGACCGCUGGGGAGUACGGUCGCAAGAUUAAAACUCAAAUGAAUUGACGGGGGCCCGCACAAGCGGUGGAGCAUGUGGUUUAAUUCGAUGCAACGCGAAGAACCUUACCUACUCUUGACAUCCAGAGAAGCCAGCGGAGACGCAGGUGUGCCUUCGGGAACUCUGAGACAGGUGCUGCAUGGCUGUCGUCAGCUCGUGUUGUGAAAUGUUGGGUUAAGUCCCGCAACGAGCGCAACCCUUAUCCUUGUUUGCCAGCGAGUCAUGUCGGGAACUCCAGGGAGACUGCCGGUGAUAAACCGGAGGAAGGUGGGGACGACGUCAAGUCAUCAUGGCCCUUACGAGUAGGGCUACACACGUGCUACAAUGGCGCAUACAGAGGGCAGCAAGCUAGCGAUAGUGAGCGAAUCCCAAAAAGUGCGUCGUAGUCCGGAUUGGAGUCUGCAACUCGACUCCAUGAAGUCGGAAUCGCUAGUAAUCGUGAAUCAGAAUGUCACGGUGAAUACGUUCCCGGGCCUUGUACACACCGCCCGUCACACCAUGGGAGUGGGCCGCUAAAGAAGUGGGUAGUUUAACCAAGUGGGGACGACGCUCACCAUAGAGUU
RNAcentral lists this ribosomal RNA (871 nucleotides) under bacterium 21F07-Zb1-8. RNAcentral describes it as "bacterial SSU rRNA". It matches the Rfam family "Bacterial small subunit ribosomal RNA", at positions 586 to 1466 of the family's 1533-position model. The record is from RNAcentral.